CCUACGGGUGACAGCAGUGGGGAAUUUUGCACAAUGGGGGAAACCCUGAUGCAGCAACGCCGCGUGCGGGACGAAGGCCCUCGGGUUGUAAAGCGCUUUCAGUGGGGACGAUAGUGACGGUACCUACAGAAGAAGCUCCGGCUAACUACGUGCCAGCAGCCGCGGUAAUACGUAUGGAGCGAGCGUUAUCCGGAUUAAUUGGGGGUAAAGCGCGCGUAGGCGGCUGCCUAAGCCGAACCUAAAAUCCCAGGGCUCAACCUCGGGACGGGUUUCGAACUGGGCGGCUCGAGUGCAGUAGAGGCAGGCGGAAUUCCUGGUAUAGCGGUGGAAUGCGCAGAUAUCGGGAAGAACACCGAUGGCGAAGGCAGCCUGCUGGGCCGUCACUGACGCUGAGGCGCGAAAGCUGGGGGAGCGAACAGGAUUAGAUACCCUUGUAGUC
This 439-nucleotide ribosomal RNA is filed under the name uncultured bacterium. RNAcentral describes it as "partial 16S ribosomal RNA". It matches the Rfam family "Bacterial small subunit ribosomal RNA", at positions 338 to 795 of the family's 1533-position model. The record is from RNAcentral.